This 133-nucleotide ribosomal RNA is filed under the name uncultured bacterium. Its description in RNAcentral is "partial 16S ribosomal RNA". The record is from RNAcentral.
CGUAGUUAGCAGGCUCUUAUUCGUGAAGUACCGUCAUAAUCUUCCUUCACAAAAGCAGUUUACAACCCGAAGGCAUUCUUCCUGCACGCGGCAUUGCUCCGUCAGGCUUUCGCCCAUUGCGGAAAAUUCCUCA